AAUAAUAAUAAUUCUAGACAAUGAAAGAACCAAAAUGCAAUAAUAAUAAUUCUAAAAGCAAUGAAAGAACCAAAAUGCAAGGUGUGCAUUUGACUUCCUGUCCAUGAAACGUCAUGAAGGGAUAUGACCUUAAAAAAGUAAAACAGAAACAUUCAAAUUAUUUUCUGAAAUUCAGUUCCAAUAGUAGGAAUCCCCUCCCUCGAAAAUCAGAACGAGCUACCAAAAGAUCUACUGAAAUACUGAAGUCCAAACACGUGUGAGGGGCUAGCCCAGCAGGCAGCAGCAGCAGUCCAUCUCCAAUUC
RNAcentral lists this long non-coding RNA (303 nucleotides) under Setaria viridis. Its description in RNAcentral is "long non-coding RNA (SVIR_LNC002824)". The record is from RNAcentral. Lineage: Eukaryota; Viridiplantae; Streptophyta; Magnoliopsida; Poales; Poaceae.